AUGCUUGCUUUGGCAGCACAUAUUCUAAAAUUGGAAAAAUACAGAGAAGAUUAGCAUGGCCCCUGUGCAAGGAUGACACACAAAUUCAUGAAGCAUUCCGUAUUUUU
This 107-nucleotide small nuclear RNA is filed under the name Ailuropoda melanoleuca (giant panda). Lineage: Eukaryota; Metazoa; Chordata; Mammalia; Carnivora; Ursidae. The record is from RNAcentral.